GACGAACGCUGGCGGCGUGCUUAACACAUGCAAGUCGAACGGUGAACCUCUUCGGAGGGGAUGAGUGGCGAACGGGUGAGUAACACGUGGGCAACCUGCGCCCGGCUCUGGGAUAACUCCAAGGAAUUGGGGCUAAUACCGGAUGUUCACCGCUUCCCGCAUGGGUGGUGGUGGAAAGGGUUUCCGGCUGGGGAUGGGGCCGUGGCCUAUCAGCUUGUUGGUGGGGUAGUGGCCUACCAAGGCGACGACGGGUAGCCGGCCUGAGGGGGUGACCGGCCACACUGGGGCUGCUACACCGCCCAGAAUCCUCCGGGGGGCAGCAGUGGGGAAUAUUGCGCAAUGGGCGGAAGCCUGACGAAGCGACGCCGCGUGGGGGAUGAAGGCCUUCGGGUUGUAGACCUCUUUCAGCAGGGACGAAGCGCAAGUGACGGUACCUGCAGAAGAAGCACCGGCCAACUACGUG
Molecule: ribosomal RNA, 463 nt
Filed under: uncultured bacterium
Lineage: Bacteria
Description: partial 16S ribosomal RNA
Rfam family: Bacterial small subunit ribosomal RNA
Source: RNAcentral